GCUGCCGUGGCUCAGUGGUAGAGCACUCCCUUGGUAAGGGAGAUGUCAAUGUUUGUUUUUCUCCAUCA
Molecule: transfer RNA, 68 nt
Filed under: Micavibrio aeruginosavorus
Lineage: Bacteria; Pseudomonadati; Bdellovibrionota; Bdellovibrionia; Bdellovibrionales; Pseudobdellovibrionaceae
Description: tRNA-Thr
Rfam family: tRNA
About the family: Transfer RNA (tRNA) molecules are approximately 80 nucleotides in length. Their secondary structure includes four short double-helical elements and three loops (D, anti-codon, and T loops).
Source: RNAcentral